This 1127-nucleotide long non-coding RNA is filed under the name Gallus gallus (chicken). Its description in RNAcentral is "lncRNA (ENSGALG00010029107.1)". The record is from RNAcentral. Lineage: Eukaryota; Metazoa; Chordata; Aves; Galliformes; Phasianidae.
AGAGGAGGAACUGGGCUGGGGUAGAGAGACACAGGGAGGUGAUGGUGCUCUGCGUGCCUUCACCACGCACCUGGCAGUCCCUCCUGGGCAGGGCAAAGCCACCAGAACUGAACGUUUAUGGGCUGAUCCCUGCAGGAACCGUUCACCCCAGCAGAAAGUCCCUUUGCUGAGGUCACGGCACUCCCCUUGAGGAGCCGGCAGCAGCUGAGGGUUGCUUCUUUUUGCUGGUGUGAUUUACAUCCAUAGGAGCUGCCCCUGGAAGGUUUUUCAAUGUAAAGAAGAAUAGAGGGAGGGCUGAAAACGGAGGUGAACCCAGGGGAUGUGGGGGAGCAGCUGAGGGUAAUGAUGAGUGCUGAUGGGGAUGGGAUGGGGAGGGCAUUUCUGGCACAUUGGGAGCAGCUGCUGGGGGCUGGCAGUGCUCCCCUGCCCUGAGACCUGCAGCAGCACGGUGCUGAAGUAGCUGUGGUUCCUGAGGUCUGUGUGGUCCAGGCUCACUCUGUAGGAGAGAGGGGGAGAAAUCAGCUGCUCCUCGAGGAGAUCCGUCUCCAUCGCUCGUCCGGCUGCAUCCCUUCAUAAAUCUUCCCCAAAAAAACAUCAGCACCUUCUCAGGCUGCCAUCUGUUUAUUUGGUUGGACUUGGAACUUGCUGAAAUGUCUUUCGAUGGAUGAAGCAACGGAGAGUAGAAGAACAGAGCCUGGCAGGCUGCUUGCUGUGCCAGGGAACCACCAAGCUUCCUGGUACCCCGUGUUGGCUGAGAGGCAAUGAGGUUAAGGAAAGCAUAACUGCCAUCAGGAAUUCUUGUAAAGAAAAUCUCCUGGAUGGAAUCUGGAGAUCUGAAGACAUAUUUCUGCUCUCCUGGCCACCUAUGAACAGGAUGAUGGCGUUACAGCUGCCUGCGCAUCCUUGGGUGGAUCUUCAGUGUUCCUGAGCAGAUUUCACCUGUACUAUUGGUCUACCAUGUGUUUGGAAUUAGCGCCGCGGUUGCAGGGGGAGAAGGCAGCUGGGUUUCUCCGGAGCAUUUCAGUGCUUAAUCUCUGAAGAAUGCAGAAUGUCUGUCUGGAUGCCCCGGCCAAGAUCAACUCCGCGGCACGGGGAGGCCAAUAUAAACGUUCAUGUUUUGUGUCACC